This is a long non-coding RNA of Ixodes scapularis (black-legged tick), 200 nucleotides long. RefSeq lists it as uncharacterized. The transcript is spliced from 2 exons. The record is from RefSeq and is a predicted model, not a curated record. NCBI's taxonomy places the organism in Eukaryota, Metazoa, Arthropoda, Arachnida, Ixodida, Ixodidae.
CGGAGGUUGUCACCUUACAGUAUGUUACACAAUUACAGGGCCAUGAAAAGACAGCUGCAAGAUGACACAGGGCAAGAUGGUUUCCCAAUGCGUAAAGAUUGAACACCAACCUCCGAGAUGAAUCAGAAGAGUAGGGCCACUAGAAGCACCUGUAUGGAUAGGACACGAGUGUAGUAAUAAAACCAUAUUGCCAAUAUAAA